GGACCCGCACAAGCGGUGGAGCAUGUGGUUUAAUUCGAUGCAACGCGAAAAACCUUACCUAUACUUGACAUACUUGGAAUGCUUUGUAAUGAAGCAGUGCCUUCGGGAGCCAGGAUACAGGUGCUGCAUGGCUGUCGUCAGCUCGUGUCGUGAGAUGUUCCGUUAAGUCGGAUAACGAGCGCAACCCUUACCCUUAUUUGCCAGCGAUUCGGUCGGGAACUAUAAGGGGACUGCCGGUGAUAAACCGGAGGAAGGUGAGGACGACGUCAAGUCAUCAUGGCCCUUACGUAUAGGGCUACACACGUGCUACAAUGGGGAAUACAGACGGACGCUAAGCCGCGAGGUGGUGCUAAUCCUAGAAAGUCUCUCGUAGUCCGAAUUGCAGUCUGGAACUCGACUGCAUG
RNAcentral lists this ribosomal RNA (404 nucleotides) under uncultured bacterium. Its description in RNAcentral is "bacterial SSU rRNA". It matches the Rfam family "Bacterial small subunit ribosomal RNA", at positions 917 to 1322 of the family's 1533-position model. The record is from RNAcentral.